UGGGGAAUAUUGGACAGUGGGCGAAAGCCUGAUCCAGCCAUGCCGCGUGUGUGAAGAAGGUCUUCGGAUUGUAAAGCACUUUAAGUUGGGAGGAAGGGCAGUAAAUUAAUACUUUGCUGUUUUGACGUUACCGACAGAAUAAGCACCGGCUAACUCUGUGCCAGCAGCCGCGGUAAUACAGAGGGUGCAAGCGUUAAUCGGAAUUACUGGGCGUAAAGCGCGCGUAGGUGGUUCGUUAAGUUGGAUGUGAAAUCCCCGGGCUCAACCUGGGAACUGCAUUCAAAACUGACGAGCUAGAGUAUGGUAGAGGGUGGUGGAAUUUCCUGUGUAGCGGUGAAAUGCGUAGAUAUAGGAAGGAACACCAGUGGCGAAGGCGACCACCUGGACUGAUACUGACACUGAGGUGCGAAAGCGUGGGGAGCAAACAGGAUUAGAUACCCUGUAGUCCCUGAGCGGGCUGGCAAGGCGCAU
This 471-nucleotide ribosomal RNA is filed under the name uncultured bacterium. RNAcentral's name for it is "bacterial SSU rRNA". It matches the Rfam family "Bacterial small subunit ribosomal RNA", at positions 355 to 825 of the family's 1533-position model. The record is from RNAcentral.